UCAAGGAAUCCCAUCAAUCCUCGCCAAGAACAGCAAGACAAGGAAAGAAAAAUCUAAGAUGAUCCUGCCCGCUGCUCGUCUACCAUGGAGAUCCGAUCGAUCAACACUUGCGGAGCUCUAGACUCUGGAUUGAUCUACAGACUUCUCGACAAGCAAAGAGCCAUCUUUUAAAGUGGGAAUUGACCAAGCACUCCUCUCUUUCUUUCGCCGUGAAAUAGACGAGAGGGGGGGAGAGAGAGAGAGAGAGAGAGAGAAACAAUGCAAGCUCUGUUCUUCAGCUAUCUUCCCCGAGCGACAAGAGAAAAGACUCUGGAUUUUGGGCGGAGCUUACAGCAGAGGGUGUCGGAUCUCGCUGACCCAAGAGCCCCAGUGGCGUUGCCUCACGCCCCGGUACCGCUGCGGCCUCCCCAUUCUCGAUGGAUUCGCGAUACAAUUCCAGCACCAAUUAAGCGGGGAACCUCAAGAACAACGAACAAGAAGGGAGAAGGAACAGUGGAGGACGAGCACAGAAGAGAAGAACACUCUUUUCGUCUGGAGCUCUGAGGGGAAUGAGCGCAAAACUUUACUUCUAUGCACUUCGACGAGUAGCAAUUAAAAGGAGGAGCGGGAAAUGGCUACUAGCAGGAACAGAGCUGGGCUGGCUGGCUAGAGAGAAAAAAAAAUAGGAAAAACAAAGAGAUUUAAAUCGCGAAGAGUGAGAAAAUUCGAGGGUCCCGCAACCGUUGAGCAUGUCGGACGGAUUCAACAAACAAAACCUCAAAGUCGUCUCUUCCGGGCAA
This is a long non-coding RNA of Selaginella moellendorffii, 779 nucleotides long. RefSeq lists it as uncharacterized. The transcript has 2 exons. The record is from RefSeq and is a predicted model, not a curated record. Lineage: Eukaryota; Viridiplantae; Streptophyta; Lycopodiopsida; Selaginellales; Selaginellaceae.